GACGAACGCUGGCGGCGUGCUUAACACAUGCAAGUCGAACGGUGACCCCGGUGCUUGCACCGGGCGAUCAGUGGCGAACGGGUGAGUAACACGUGAGCAACCUGCCCCUGACUCUGGGAUAACUUCGAGAAAUCGGAGCUAAUACCGGAUACGAGACGUACAGGCAUCUGUUGCGUCUGGAAAGAUUUAUCGGUCAGGGAUGGGCUCGCGGCCUAUCAGCUAGUUGGUGAGGUAACGGCUCACCAAGGCGACGACGGGUAGCCGGCCUGAGAGGGCGACCGGCCACACUGGGACUGAGACACGGCCCAGACUCCUACGGGAGGCAGCAGUGGGGAAUAUUGCACAAUGGGCGAAAGCCUGAUGCAGCGACGCCGCGUGGGGGAUGAAGGCCUUCGGGUUGUAAACCCCUUUCAGCAGGGAAGAAGCGAAAGUGACGGUACCUGCAGAAGAAGCGCCGGCUAACUACGUG
RNAcentral lists this ribosomal RNA (469 nucleotides) under uncultured bacterium. RNAcentral's name for it is "bacterial SSU rRNA". It matches the Rfam family "Bacterial small subunit ribosomal RNA", at positions 28 to 507 of the family's 1533-position model. The record is from RNAcentral.